UUGCUUUCUUUGCAAUUAAUGAACAGAUGUAGAACCACAUCAAUAACAAGAUUUUUCUUUUACUAGCCCAAUCUUUAUAUGAUAUGUGGGGUUCGAGGCGUUGCCUCCCCCUCUUUUUUCAGAACGCGUGACACAAAUUUCGUCACUUUUUUUUAUUUUUUAUGUCAAAUAUGGGGCUCAUGUUUCGGUCAAUUAUCUCAAAAAACAAGAUGGAAGAUUAACAAUUCUCGAGAUACGAUAAUUAAUUCCAAGUAUUGAAUUAGGUCAAGACCAUAGUUUAUGAUAACUCAAUUCGAUGUAAACCGUGACAAAUUCUGUCACAAAUUGAUGUAACCACGACAAUUUCAGUCACAAAUCGAUGUUAACCACGACAAUUUCCGUCGCUAAUCAAUGUUUGUCCCUUGAUUAACCACGACAAAAUUGUCGUAAUACCGUGAUUUAUCAAACCGUCAUAAAUUUCAACUUUGAUAUGAGGAGUCUCAAUUCCUCACAUGAACCCACGUUAUAAGAAAGAUGAGGGUAGAAGAAGGCUACGAAGCUUGGCUAUGAAAUUAAAAUUUAACAGCGGCAACUUUUAUAAAAGCUUACUUACUAAUUUGCCAAAUAAAUUACGUGUAAGAGAAGUUGCCCGUGUAAUUUUCAUACGUAUUUCCAUGUGCGUGCAGAGAAGUUACUCGUGCAAUUCCAUAGCGAUGAGUCACGCGAUAAAUUUCAUGAAAUGAAAACAUAUAGUUAGUAAUAUUCACCAUAUAUAUUAAAACAGUAAAACUAAUUAAAUAGUUACUACUGUAAAUAAACUGUUUUUACUCGUGGGCAAAAACAAAAUUACCUGGAGGGGAAAAUUUACUGUUUUGCCCCUCGUACAAUUAUACAAUUAUGCGUUCUCUCUUCUGCUCUCUUCUGCUUCGGAUCCGAGUAUUGAUUCGGGUCGGAACGGUAAACGCGCGGCAGCGGCGUCGGUUGGGGCGCACAGGGCUGCUGGGCGAGAAGGGGCCGGCGUGCGUCGGUGGAGCCACACCAGGGAUUGGGAUCCGUGGAGGACGCCGGAACGCGCUCGCAAGGGGAAAGCCAGGCGGUGGUCGGCUGCUCACGUUGAAGUUGCUGCCGUAAUCUGGGGUGGUGGAGGCUCACGCCUGGCAGUAGCAGAGAGGCAGGAGGUUGCUGGAACUCGGUGGUUUACGCCGGAAGAGAAGGGAGAUUUGCAGGUGCACCAGUCCGGUGUUUGGAGACUGGGUCGAGGCCGGAGCGGUGCGCAAGGCUGCUAGGCUUCGACCGAGAUGAUGGGGCUGCCGGGGUGGAGGUCCAAGGCCGAAGGAAGCCUGGUGCACUCGCUGCCGGGGUGACGCAAGGCAGGGGGCAACCGGCAGAGAGGUGGGUUGGGUGGCCAGAGCAAAUUUCUGGGUGUCCAAGUCAAAAUCGAUGGGUUAGAUCAAAACAUUUGAACCGCCCUAGCUGGGUUAGAUCAAGAAAUAUUUGAACAAGAUCAAAACCCUCUUGAUAUUUUGAGCAUCGGUUAGAUCCGCCCUAGCUGGUAUCAAAGCCUGCUUGGCUCAAAAGCAGGUGACAAAAGGCUUAUGCCACAAAGUUAGCUUCUCUUGACUAAUAAAAGAGAAUCCAAAUUAAAAAAUUAUCAGUCUUUUUGUACUGCAAAAAGAACUGACAAGUGGGAAGUGUGCUUUCAUUCAAGGCACAUCCAAGAAAACCAGUACUCCAUUGAAUACGUGUGUAGAGUAUUAAAUACGCUCUACGACGAACAUAUUUAUCUCCAAAGANNNNN
This 1777-nucleotide long non-coding RNA is filed under the name Fragaria vesca (wild strawberry). Its description in RNAcentral is "long non-coding RNA (FVES_LNC001654)". The record is from RNAcentral. Lineage: Eukaryota; Viridiplantae; Streptophyta; Magnoliopsida; Rosales; Rosaceae.